CUUCACCGAGCCCAGCAGCAGCGGCGUCGCCCGGUUCUGGCCGUAGGUGGCGAGCAGGGCCUGCGCCUC
This is a non-coding RNA of Actinophytocola sp., 69 nucleotides long. It matches the Rfam family "ASpks TB sRNA". Lineage: Bacteria; Bacillati; Actinomycetota; Actinomycetes; Pseudonocardiales; Pseudonocardiaceae. The record is from Rfam.